Molecule: long non-coding RNA, 1673 nt
Organism: Thalassophryne amazonica
Lineage: Eukaryota; Metazoa; Chordata; Actinopteri; Batrachoidiformes; Batrachoididae
Exons: 3
Source: RefSeq, a predicted model, not a curated record
AGCUUCUCUCUGACAGAUCACACAAACUCAACCUGAAGACAAAAUCAAAAAGAAACAGAUUUGUGUUGUCAUGCAAAGGUUCCAGUUUGUUCUACACCUCAGACAGGAUCAAUAAACCAGCAGUGUACACUGAGUCAAAUCUGAAAGUGUUUUUAUUCAGUCAAACAUGAUUAUUAACUGGACCAGCAGGAGACCUGGAUGAUGCCUGGUUAGACAGAAAACAUAUGAACUGUCUUUGAUUAAAGACAUCAACAGCAUUAAAGACAACUUUAAUCCUUCUCAGUGUACUUUGAUAUGACUGAUCAAUACUUUCAUUGAUUUAACAUUAGGAGCUAAUGUUUGCUGAAUAUUUGGACAUGUGGACAGAAAGAAAGGUCUCUGUCCAUACAUAUGACAUAUUAUAGGUGGUCACUCCCACAUACACACACCUGACUUUUAUACAUCAGAUAUAUUUAUCUGUUAACAGUAAUGUGUUAUUGAAUAAAGUCAGAUAAACUUUAUUGAUCCCUGAAGGGAAAUUAAUCCUCUGUAUUUAACCUGUUCUAAUCAUAUUAGACACAUUAGAGUAACAUGCAGCUGCAAAGCAGUACCCAAGAACCAAACCCCAACCUCCACCCACAGGAAAUUAAGCAAACCCGGAAGUUGAAAAUUUUGCCUUGAUUGGCCACUUGAGGCUGACUCCUAAAAGGAGUUACUUUCCACAGAGGCCCAUGUUUAAAUGUCCAACUUUAGAGCAGAAAUAAACAUGUUUACAGCCUGGGUAACUAUCUGUGUUUGGUGUCCACAGAUAGUUACCCCUCCACAACAAGUAUAAAGGGGUGAUUUUUUUUUUCUUUCCUUCUGUUUAUAAAUGCCUCAUCACUUUACCAUGUUUUAACCCACAGCAUUGUGAAUAAUUGUGAGGUGAUUUAAGAGCCAUGCUUGGAGAGGCUGCUACAUUUUGUGAUCAGACUGUCUCUCUCCUGUCUGAGUAUUUAAUUCCAAAUAUCUCAUAUAAAACAGCUUGUUGUGCAGAUCAUUCUCCUCGUGGACCAUUUGAGAAGUCUGUGCUCCAGUAUUUCCACUGAAUGGAAUUUUCAUGUUAUUUAAUUUGGUAUGUUUUCAACAUUAGCACUGUUUGCAGUUCAAUCUGAUAUUAAAAAUUGGUCCACAUUUUUGCUCCACAAAUGUUAUUUGUUGAGAUUUUAUCUUAAUAAAGACAUCAACACGAUUAUGUCACAGCAACUAAUGAUGAAUCAUUAUUUAGUUAUUUUGUUAUCUGGAAAGUUUCAUUCUGGUUCUUGAGUGAAGAUUUUUAAAGUUUCUUAAAGCUUCUUAAAGUUACAGUCUGUCCAUAAGUCAGCAAAAUGUUAAAUUUCAGAAGAAACCUGCUACACAAUGAGUGAAUGGUCCUUAUGAAUGGAUGGAUUUAGAAUUAAUUGUUGGCUUACUUUCACCACCUAGUGUUACCACUCUGUAUUUAUUGUUUUUUAUCUGAACACAAGCGCUUUGAUUUCUGUUUCAGAAAAAUUUCUUGUCCUGCUCUUUCUUGUUAAGUUCAUGUUUCAGGCUUCACAUCUGUUUGAAUAUUCAUGAGGGGACCAUUUGUGGUUGAAUGUGGGCGUGUUGAGGGCGGGACAUGAGGCAGAUCAACAUGCGCAUAAUUCAAAGUUGUGUGUGAAAUAAAGUCAAUU